UAGGAUCAGUGUCAAUGUCUUUUUGUCUCUGUUUCCCACCUCUUAUUUUACCUUUCUCCACACCGCCGCUCCAAUCGAUCCUUCCAGUUUCAAAAUAAGCGAUCGUCUCUCUCUCCAUCACCGACACCCCAGUGCUUUCUAAGGGCGUUCGUCUUGGUGGUGAUAGACGAGUAGGGGUCUCUACCGGAACUGGUGGGGUCACUAAGUCGAUUGUCUCCACCAUAGAGAAACCUUCUUCAAUGUUGAACGAAGCAAAAUCUUAGAGACCUGUUCAUUCGUUCCUUUCAACCUCCGUAUUGUAGCGAUUGAGAUCAAUUUUACUUGCAAUUUCUAAAAUCGAACACACACACACACAUCAAUUUCAGUAAGUCAGUUCUUAUCCAUUCAGUGAUUAUUUUGCAUUACUUUGGGAAAUUUUCCGUAGUUUAUUCACCCACAACUCCAUUCACCGUUGACUUCUAAUUUCAGACGACACCCAGUUCAAUUACACGCUGAUUCGAUCUUCCACCGUUUCCUUUCCCACUGCCUCAAAGUCCAUUGGAAAUUGAUGCUGACUCUCCCCAUCGCUUACCGGUCCAUCAUCCACCCACAAUCGUUGCCCAACACCAACAGGGCUGCUUGGCAUCAACACAUAACCAAGAGAUGUGGCACCUAAUUAAAAUAGGAGUUAAAUAAGUUUGGUUUUUUGCUGAAAGAGAAGCCACUGAGUCUUCCGCCCAUGACAGUCAACACCAACCUCAGGUCGAUUUCUUCCAAUUUCCUUCUAUUUCCAGUUUUAAUUAUUUCGUUUGAAAUUUAAUAGAUUCCAUUGAAUUUUAAAGGUUAUGUUUAAUUAACUGUCUGAAUUGAUUUGCACCUAACUCUCUGUGGCCUUCGUUUGUCACAUCUACCACCGACCUGUUUUUCAUUAAUGAUUUUUUUUUCUUUACCAGAUCUUGACAGAUUUACAGCCAUACCAGGCUUUUUUUGACGGCAAGAUUAGGGUUUUCUUACUGCACACAAUGUGUUCGACAAAAUGUCACACUGAAGAUUUUCUGCUUUGAUUGCCUUCAAUUGUCAGGCUUGCAUUUUUCUAUUUUGUGGUUCUUUUUUUGCGUAGUGUUUGACAAGAUGUAGGUGGGAUCUUCUGUGAAUAUAGUAAAAGGUUGAACUGAGUUGUGCAGCUCCGUUGCCAAGUCUCAUGUUAUGUGGUUUGUAUUUCAACAUAUUAUGUAUUGGUAUUAUAUGCAUGUUAUUGAUUUUUGUUAUUUAUUUAUUUAUAUUAUUAUGUGCUUGUGUUUCUGUAGUGUUGCAUGUGGUUCAGCGCAUUUCUUGGUGGUGGUUGAUAGGUCAAAUAUGGGGAAAUGGCUUGACAAGGUAUUCGUUCCCUUAUCUCUACUAUGAAAUGGAAUGCUUAAUUCCAUAGGAAUCAAAAUACUUUUGUUUGUUUUCUUUAUAGACUGAAAUCCGGCGAAGUUCAUGGUUGACAAUCAGCAUAAUAUUCAAAAAAAUAAUCAUAACAAUCUAUAUCAUAUAUACAUUGUCAUAUACUGAUUUUUAUUUUUUAAUCAUUUUUAGGAAGGGCAUAUAGUAUUGUGUUAGCCGAAAGAGUUGUGGUAAAUUUGAUCCAAAGAAUGAGUGGCAUAACCACACUCACAAAGAUAACAAUAAAUCAGUCGCUGAAGCAGGUGAUAGCGACAUUUAGGAAUCCGGGAUUUUUUUUCUUGACAGAUUCUUAUUGACGACUCAAUUUCCCCUGUUUCUUUAUCUACUCUGUAUGUUGACUAUCUACUUUAUUCAGGUAUCAUCUUUAUUAUGGGAAUUAUGAGCUUGGUCCACGACUGGAGGUGCUCAUGUAGUAUGCAAAGCACGCGGUAAAUGUCAGUAGCUAUUUGGUUCCAAUUUGAAGUUUUGGAUAAAUGAGCAGACACAGCCGAGAUUUUUGAUUCCUCCGAUUUUGGUUUGUAAACUAUUCGACUAAUUACUCCAAAGAAUAAUCAUAUUUUCAUUUUUCAAUCUAUUGAGUUUGUUUGAUGUUUAUUUACAGAAUUUGAAUAUGAAAACCUCUAUCUUCAUUUGUGUUUUAUUUUUCUAGCAUGGUCAACUCUACAUAACACCAUAUCAAGUGGACAAAAAGGGAAAUGGACAUGAUGAUAUAUCAGCAACUGAAAAAAGAUGAUGAACUGCCAAAAAUGCCUGCUUCACAGUAUUGUAAAACAUUUCAGUUCAUAGGAGCACAUCAGAUCCCUUUGCCCCCCGCGAACCGGGGGUUACCAAUCUAGUUAUAAUGAUGGAAAUUAAAAUGUUAAACAAAUAAAUUUUACAAAAAUGAUUAACAAUAACAAACACUAAAAAUAACAUCAAAUCAUAUAUUAUAUUUUAUUUUAUUAAUGAGUAACUCACGGCUAGAAAUCAUUCAAACGAUUGAGAUUGUGUAGUUAUAAAAGAUGUAUAUAUUAUCAUAUAAUUUAAAACAAUCAAUAUAUUAUAUCAAUUUAGUAUACAAAUUAUUAUGUCAAAUUUAAUGACAACGUUAUUGUUAUAUUUAAAAAAAACAUAUAUUUGUAAAAAUUUCAACUACAUAGGUGUUUUUGUGCAACGCACUAACAUUCACCUAUUCAUGUUGUUGGUUUACUCAAGUAUAAAUAAUCACAAUUCCAAAGUCCUCCCGUAAUAUAAUGGCAAAAUAGAUUCAUUACUCCUAAUAUGUUAUGGUUUAAAUCAUAAAAACAUGUAUGAUUUCUACACUAAAACACUUAAGCCACAUGUAUACUAAUAACCACCAAGGUUUAUAGUCUAGAAAAUGAUUAAUUUGAACGAAACCCCC
Molecule: long non-coding RNA, 2806 nt
Filed under: Lactuca sativa (garden lettuce)
Lineage: Eukaryota; Viridiplantae; Streptophyta; Magnoliopsida; Asterales; Asteraceae
Description: long non-coding RNA (LSAT_LNC003257)
Source: RNAcentral